CCUAACCUCACUUUUUAUUCUUUUUAUUUGUUCUUCUCACCGAGAAUGAUGAAACUCAGACAGAGCGUCAUGAUAAGCAUUCUCUUUUUAAUCUAUCUUUCUCUUUCACUCUCAUAUUUUGUGACAGUGUCGGCCCUGAAUCGGUCUUUACCUGCGGCCUCCGUAGUGUCCGUGGCAACGAGCUCACGCGAGUCCGAACAAAGGCGAAGAGGCGGCUGCGUGUUGAUAGUAAGGGUAAGGAAGAAGGGGAGGAAGAAGAGGAGAAGUAGGAGGCGAUAACAGCCGAUAUACUCUUCGUUCCGUGUACAGACGGCGUUGCUAUCGCGGAACUCUCCUCGCUUGGAAACCACUAUCGUAGCACCAACGCACCUUCUUCCAUGUUGCAUGCAUGCAAAUUCAACGCCAAGUACCACUAGCAUUGACGUUCACUUACGACAAAUGCAACACAACACGCCAUAUCCAAGCACAAGAAAAAGAUGUCACCGGUAACCGUGCACUCGCAUCGGGUUUUCACGUAUCUUACGGCACAACCUCCGGUCCAGGACUGAUGCACCACAGCUACAACGCGCACGGACCCUAGUCACGGUUACCACAAGAAAGAGAAAGAGAGAAUCGUGACGCGCGAUGCUCGGUCAGGCGCCAUUUACAGAAACGCACGCAUCGCUACUAGUUCUCUCUAACUCUAUGUCUAUCUCACUCUUACUACUUUCAUUUCCCCCACUUAUCUACUCGCAACGUAUCUCCCUCUCUUUACUCUAGUUCCAUCCUUUUUUAUCUUAUUCUUUCUUCCCCCCCUCUGACGUAUCUAUCCGACCUAUCCCAAUUACAGCGAACGUCCUUGAGGUGACUAACACCUUGUCGUCCACUGCUUGUGGGAACGAAGAGGGAUGCAUGAAAGCGCUGUUGAAGAGGUGGAAAAGAUGGUGAUAGUAGUGGAAAUGAUGGAGGUGGUGAAGAAGAAAAAGGAGGAGUUGGAGAACAAAGACAGAAAGAAAAGAGCGGCGAAUGCCGCAUGUAACGCUUAGUCUUUCUUGAAGCUGUAAGUAAAAGGAGAGGGAGUAGGAUGAACCAUGCUUCUUAAGUGUCCGUACGUGAGAACGAGGAGGUUAUUCACUGUUCUACGGAAAUGUUCGAGCAUGAUGAUGUUGCCACAGUAAUGUGCCUUUUAUAAUCUCUGAUAAUUAUAUGAAUUCAUUCGUAAUAUUUAUGAUAU
Molecule: long non-coding RNA, 1213 nt
Organism: Apis dorsata (giant honeybee)
Lineage: Eukaryota; Metazoa; Arthropoda; Insecta; Hymenoptera; Apidae
Exons: 2
Source: RefSeq, a predicted model, not a curated record